This 490-nucleotide ribosomal RNA is filed under the name uncultured bacterium. RNAcentral describes it as "partial 16S ribosomal RNA". It matches the Rfam family "Bacterial small subunit ribosomal RNA", at positions 30 to 507 of the family's 1533-position model. The record is from RNAcentral.
AUUGAACGCUGGCGGCAGGCCUAACACAUGCAAGUCGAACGGUAACAGGAAGCAGCUUGCUGCUUUGCUGACGAGUGGCGGACGGGUGAGUAAUGUCUGGGAAACUGCCUGAUGGAGGGGGAUAACUACUGGAAACGGUAGCUAAUACCGCAUAACGUCGCAAGACCAAAGGGGGGGACCUUCGGGCCUCUUGCCAUCGGAUGUGCCCAGAUGGGAUUAGCUAGUAGGUGGGGUAACGGCUCACCUAGGCGACGAUCCCUAGCUGGUCUGAGAGGAUGACCAGCCGCACUGGAACUGAGACACGGUCCAGACUCCUACGGGAGGCAGCAGUGGGGAAUAUUGCACAAUGGGCGCAAGCCUGAUGCAGCCAUGCCGCGUGUAUGAAGAAGGCCUUCGGGUUGUAAAGUACUUUCAGCGGGGAGGAAGGGAGUAAAGUUAAUACCUUUGCUCAUUGACGUUACCCGCAGAAGAAGCACCGGCUAACUCCGUG